GGAACGAGUGGCGGACGGGUGAGUAACACGUGGGUAACCUGCCCUUAAGUGGGGGAUAACAUUUGGAAACAGAUGCUAAUACCGCAUAGAUCCAAGAACCGCAUGGUUCUUGGCUGAAAGAUGGCGUAAGCUAUCGCUUUUGGAUGGACCCGCGGCGUAUUAGCUAGUUGGUGAGGUAAUGGCUCACCAAGGCGAUGAUACGUAGCCGAACUGAGAGGUUGAUCGGCCACAUUGGGACUGAGACACGGCCCAAACUCCUACGGGAGGCAGCAGUAGGGAAUCUUCCACAAUGGACGCAAGUCUGAUGGAGCAACGCCGCGUGAGUGAAGAAGGCUUUCGGGUCGUAAAACUCUGUUGUUGGAGAAGAAUGGUCGGCAGAGUAACUGUUGUCGGCGUGAC
RNAcentral lists this ribosomal RNA (399 nucleotides) under Lacticaseibacillus casei. Its description in RNAcentral is "bacterial SSU rRNA". It matches the Rfam family "Bacterial small subunit ribosomal RNA", at positions 88 to 473 of the family's 1533-position model. Lineage: Bacteria; Bacillati; Bacillota; Bacilli; Lactobacillales; Lactobacillaceae. The record is from RNAcentral.